ACUUGAUGGAUGACAUAGCAGAUAAUUGUCAGCUAAAUAUGUGAUGCCCAGAGAACACUGAUAAGAAAAUGUGACUCCUGGCAGAGUACCCAAGUCAACACACUGGAUUGAACACAACAACACAG
This is a non-coding RNA of Agelaius phoeniceus (red-winged blackbird), 125 nucleotides long. The record is from RefSeq and is a predicted model, not a curated record. NCBI's taxonomy places the organism in Eukaryota, Metazoa, Chordata, Aves, Passeriformes, Icteridae.